This 579-nucleotide ribosomal RNA is filed under the name Enterobacter asburiae. RNAcentral's name for it is "bacterial SSU rRNA". It matches the Rfam family "Bacterial small subunit ribosomal RNA", at positions 90 to 665 of the family's 1533-position model. The record is from RNAcentral. Lineage: Bacteria; Pseudomonadati; Pseudomonadota; Gammaproteobacteria; Enterobacterales; Enterobacteriaceae.
GACGAGCGGCGGACGGGUGAGUAAUGUCUGGGAAACUGCCUGAUGGAGGGGGAUAACUACUGGAAACGGUAGCUAAUACCGCAUAACGUCGCAAGACCAAAGAGGGGGACCUUCGGGCCUCUUGCCAUCAGAUGUGCCCAGAUGGGAUUAGCUAGUAGGUGGGGUAACGGCUCACCUAGGCGACGAUCCCUAGCUGGUCUGAGAGGAUGACCAGCCACACUGGAACUGAGACACGGUCCAGACUCCUACGGGAGGCAGCAGUGGGGAAUAUUGCACAAUGGGCGCAAGCCUGAUGCAGCCAUGCCGCGUGUAUGAAGAAGGCCUUCGGGUUGUAAAGUACUUUCAGCGGGGAGGAAGGCGAUAAGGUUAAUAACCUUGUCGAUUGACGUUACCCGCAGAAGAAGCACCGGCUAACUCCGUGCCAGCAGCCGCGGUAAUACGGAGGGUGCAAGCGUUAAUCGGAAUUACUGGGCGUAAAGCGCACGCAGGCGGUCUGUCAAGUCGGAUGUGAAAUCCCCGGGCUCAACCUGGGAACUGCAUUCGAAACUGGCAGGCUAGAGUCUUGUAGAGGGGGGUAGA